RNAcentral lists this ribosomal RNA (389 nucleotides) under Desulfosporosinus sp. enrichment clone 7Ben5. RNAcentral's name for it is "bacterial SSU rRNA". It matches the Rfam family "Bacterial small subunit ribosomal RNA", at positions 456 to 843 of the family's 1533-position model. Lineage: Bacteria; Bacillati; Bacillota; Clostridia; Eubacteriales; Desulfitobacteriaceae. The record is from RNAcentral.
AUAUUGAGGAGACAUGACGGUACCCAAGGAGGAAGCCCCGGCUAACUACGUGCCAGCAGCCGCGGUAAUACGUAGGGGGCAAGCGUUGUCCGGAAUUAUUGGGCGUAAAGGGCGCGUAGGCGGAUAUUUAAGUCCGGUGUGAAAGAUCACGGCUCAACCCUGAAAGUGCAUCGGAAACUGGAUGUCUUGAGGACAGGAGAGGAAAGUGGAAUUCCUAGUGUAGCAGUGAAAUGCGUAGAUAUUAGGAGGAACACCAGUGGCGAAGGCGACUUUCUGGACUGUAACUGACGCUGAGGCGCGAAAGCGUGGGGAGCAAACAGGAUUAGAUACCCUGGUAGUCCACGCCGUAAACGAUGAGUGCUAGGUGUAGAGGGUAUCCACCCCUUCUG